CCUACGGGAGGCAGCAGUGAGGAAUCUUGGUCAAUGGACGCAGGGCUGAACCAGCAAAGUCGCGUGAGGGAUGACGGUCCUAUGGAUUGUAAACCUCUUUUGUCAGGGAGCAAAGGGCGCCACGUGUGUCGAUUUGCGAGUACCUGAAGAAAAAGCAUCGGCUAACUCCGUGCCAUCAGCGGCGUUAAUACGGUGGAUGCGAGGGUUAUCCGGAUUUAUUGGGUUUAAAGGGUGCGCAGGCGGAAUGUAAAGUUAGCGGUAAAAUUUCGGGGCUCAACCCCGUCGUGCCGUUGAAACUGGCGGUCUUGAGUGAGCGAGAAGUAUGCGGAAUGCGUGGUGUAGCGGUGAAAUGCAUAGAUAUCACGCAGAACUCCGAUUGCGAAGGCAGCAUACCGGCGCGCAACUGACGCUCAUGCACGAAAGCGUGGGUAGCGAACAGGAUUAGAUACCCUUGUAGUC
RNAcentral lists this ribosomal RNA (459 nucleotides) under uncultured bacterium. RNAcentral describes it as "partial 16S ribosomal RNA". It matches the Rfam family "Bacterial small subunit ribosomal RNA", at positions 338 to 795 of the family's 1533-position model. The record is from RNAcentral.